RNAcentral lists this ribosomal RNA (495 nucleotides) under uncultured bacterium. RNAcentral describes it as "bacterial SSU rRNA". It matches the Rfam family "Bacterial small subunit ribosomal RNA", at positions 420 to 916 of the family's 1533-position model. The record is from RNAcentral.
GGGUUGUAAACUGCUUUUAUACGGGAAGAAACGCACCUACGUGUAGGUGUCUGACGGUACCGUAAGAAUAAGGACCGGCUAACUCCGUGCCAGCAGCCGCGGUAAUACGGAGGGUCCGAGCGUUAUCCGGAAUCAUUGGGUUUAAAGGGUCCGUAGGCGGGCCUGUAAGUCAGGGGUGAAAGUUUGUGGCUCAACCAUAAAAUUGCCUUUGAUACUGCAGGUCUUGAGUCAUGGUGGGGUCGCCGGAACAUGUGGUGUAGCGGUGAAAUGCAUAGAUAUCACAUAGAACACCGAUCGCGAAGGCAGGUGACCAACCAUGUACUGACGCUGAUGGACGAAAGCGUGGGUAGCGAACGGGAUUAGAUACCCCGGUAGUCCACGCCGUAAACGAUGGAUACUAGCUGUGGGGACUUCGGUCUCCGUGGCCAAGCGAAAGUGAUAAGUAUCCCACCUGGGGAGUACGUUCGCAAGAAUGAAACUCAAAKGAAUUGACGG